AUGGCAGAUCCGAAAGUCUCUCAUAUGGCAGCAGCAAAGCGGGGUCUCAGGUAUGUGAAAGGGUCUGUGAACUUAGGAGUUUUUUAUGGAAGGGGUGCUGAGAAUUUGGGAAUAAUUUAUGAGAAAACUUCUGAAGUUGUUCUUAAGGCCUAUACCGACAGUGACUAUGCUAGUGAUACAGAUGAUAGAAGAAGCACUUCUGGAUAUGUGUUUCUUCUAAGUGGUGGUGCAGUUGCAUGCAGCUCAAGAAAGCAACCAGUUGUGACCCUUUCUACCACCGAAGCAGAAUAUGUAGCUAUUGUGGCAUGUGCUUGCCACAGUAUCUGGAUGAAAAGAGUACUCAACAGUCUCGGUUUCUCUUCAUGUAAGUGUGUUAAGAUUUUUUGUGAUAAUAGUUCAACUAUCAAGUUAUCAAAAAAUCCAGUUCUCCAUGGAAGAACCGAACACAUAGAUGUGAGGUUCCACUUCUUACGUGAUCUGGUCAAGGAAGGUGUUGUGGAGUUAGUUCAUUGUGGUACUAGUGAGCAGGUAGCAGACAUCAUGACAAAGCCUUUGAAGUUAGAGUCUUUUGUGAAACUGCGUGAUCUGCUAGGAGUUCAAAGAGCUAGUAGUUCAUUUAAGUUGGGAGUUGAUCAGGUCAAGUAUUUAGUUGCCACAGUCUUCGACAAUGUUUCGGUUUCAAGUAUAAACCUCGAGAAGAACUUAGCAUGAAAGGAGGCAAAGAAGAAUUAAGCUAUGCUAACAAUUCUAAAGCACAGGCCAAACAUGCAAAUUCCAUGCAUCACCUGCUUAAAGAAACCCUAGACAGAGUGCAGCCGAGCUCUCCAGAAUUCCUUUUUGUGGUUGCGGACCUUGGAUGCUCAAGUGGAAGCAACAGCAUCAACACCGUAGAUUUGAUCAUCAAGCACAUGACCAAGCGCUAUGAUGCCUUGGGAUAUGACUCACCUGAGUUCUCAGCCUUUUUCUCUGAUCUCCCUGGCAAUGACGUCAACACCCUCUUCCAGCUCCUCCUUCCUCUGGGCAACCACGGCGGCAGCAUGGAGGAGGCCCUUGCUGCCGACAGCCACUGCUCCUAAUUGGCUGCAGGAGUCCCCGGCUCCUUCUACUGGUGGCUUUUCCCGUCGAGGUCCAUUGACCUUUUUCACUCGGCGUUUUCCUUGCGUUGGCUCACACAGGUGCGAGAAAGUGUGCUAGACAAGAGAUCAGCAGCCUACAACAAAGGGAGGGUGUUCAUUCAUGGAGCAAAUGAGAGCACAGCCAAUGCAUACAAGAAGCAGUUCCAGACAGACUUGGCAAGCUUUCUCAGGUCAAGAGCCAAGGAGCUCAAGAAAGGUGGCUCCAUGUUUCUUGCCUGUUUGGGCAGGACCUCAGUGGACUCCACUGAACAAAGUGGCUUAGGCCUUCUCUUGGGGACCCACAUUCAGGGUGCUUGGGAUGAUCUUGUCCAAGAAGGUCUUAUCACUAGUGAGAAACGCGAUAGUUUCAACUUUCCUGUGUAUGCCUCAAGCUUACAAGACUUCAAGGAAGUAGUGGAAGCUGAUGGCUCAUUCACCAUGAACAAGCUUGAGAUUUUCAAUGGAGGAAGCCCCCUUGUAGUGAACCAACCAGAUGAUGCGGCUGAAGUCGGUCGAGCCAUUGCCAACAGUUGUAGGAGUGCGGGCGGAGUGCUCAUCGAUGCACACAUCGGUGAACACCUUAGCAAUGAGUUGUUUUCACGAGUGGAACAAAGUACUCAAGACAUGCCAAAGAGAUACUGGAGCAAAUACAGUUCUUUUACGUAGCGGCAUCACUUUCUCUUGCUUAAUUAGGGCGUUUCCUUUUCCUUUUUUCCUUCCUUAGGUCCCGUUUGGUGGGCUGGACUGGACUGGUUGAGAUAGACUUCAAAGUAUUGGAUUGGACUGGCUUGGACUGGGUAGGCUUUGAGUCCAGUCCUGUUCAUUUUUGCACCAAACAACGUACUGAAAUUAACUUCUUCUUUUUUUUUUCUUUUUUCUUUUUUUAAUAAAUCAGAAUUUUAUUUUAUUUUAUUUAUUAACAAUAAUCAUAUGCAAAAUCUCAAGCCCCAAAUCGGCGUAUGAAACCUUCCCUUGAUUGGUCAAACAAAUCGUGUGACGAAAAACGAGAGAAUCUUCACACAGGGAAGAGAAAUGCAAACCGUUUGGUUGCUGAGAAAACACAAGGAAAUGUGAAAAUAAAAUAAGAAAACGAAGACUGAAUCUGAUCCGAUAAAGCUACGAAAUAGGAGCGUUACACCUUCCUCUUCAGCAAACGAGCUCUUAAGCCUUCUCUUUCUCUCUCUCUCUCUCUCUCUCUCUCUACAAAAAUUCCUAUCCCCAAAUCCCCUCUUCUUCUUCUUCUUCCUCACUUCCAAAUUCCAACCUCUCCUUGCCCAACUCCAAAUCUACAAAAAGAGUAGCAUUGGACCCACUUUCUUCUUCAGGCAGUAAUUACCAACUACCCUUGCUCCGUUCUAUCUCUGCACAGCCCUUGGUCCCACCAACCCAAACCGAUUUCACCCAUUUCACAAACUGAAGAACCAGCGAAGUUCAAUGAUGUCGUGAAAGAGAUGAGAGCGAGAUUGGGUAGAGGAUACGGGAGAGAGAGAG
Non-coding RNA from Prunus mume (Japanese apricot), 2606 nucleotides. NCBI's taxonomy places the organism in Eukaryota, Viridiplantae, Streptophyta, Magnoliopsida, Rosales, Rosaceae. The record is from RefSeq and is a predicted model, not a curated record.